GACGAACGCUGGCGGCGUGCCUAAUACAUGCAAGUAGAACGCACAGUUUAUACCGUAGCUUGCUACACCAUAAACUGUGAGUUGCGAACGGGUGAGUAACGCGUAGGUAACCUGCCUGGUAGCGGGGGAUAACUAUUGGAAACGAUAGCUAAUACCGCAUAAUAUUGAUUAUUGCGUGAUAAUUGAUUGAAAGAUGCUAUUGCAUCACUACCAGAUGGACCUGCGUUGUAUUAGCUAGUAGGUGAGGUAACGGCUCACCUAGGCGACGAUACAUAGCCGACCUGAGAGGGUGAUCGGCCACACUGGGACUGAGACACGGCCCAGACUCCUACGGGAGGCAGCAGUAGGGAAUCUUCGGCAAUGGACGAAAGUCUGACCGAGCAACGCCGCGUGAGUGAAGAAGGUUUUCGGAUCGUAAAGCUCUGUUGUAAGAGAAGAACGGGUGUGAGAGUGGAAAGUUCACACUGUGACGGUAUCUUACCAGAAAGGGACGGCUAACUACGUG
Molecule: ribosomal RNA, 505 nt
Filed under: uncultured bacterium
Lineage: Bacteria
Description: partial 16S ribosomal RNA
Rfam family: Bacterial small subunit ribosomal RNA
Source: RNAcentral